Molecule: long non-coding RNA, 282 nt
Organism: Spea bombifrons (plains spadefoot toad)
Lineage: Eukaryota; Metazoa; Chordata; Amphibia; Anura; Pelobatidae
Exons: 3
Source: RefSeq, a predicted model, not a curated record
ACAUUACUUUAGGGAAAGAGAGCUCGACCCGCGAGCUUACAAUCUAGAUAUCAUGAAUCUGUCGCUGUGAUGAUUGUAAACGAACGGCUUUUCUCGUUCCAGUAUCGGCACAAAGGCGACAAUCAGGUCAACAACAGAACGGUGCAGGUGCUCAGCAAAGGACAGUUCACCAAUGAGAAAUGGAUGAAUAUCCAAGUCGGCGAUAUUAUAAAACUGGAGAAUAAUAAUUUUGUAACGGCAGAUCUUCUGUUGCUGUCCAGCAGUGAACCCAACAGCUUGAUC